Molecule: ribosomal RNA, 379 nt
Filed under: uncultured bacterium
Lineage: Bacteria
Description: bacterial SSU rRNA
Rfam family: Bacterial small subunit ribosomal RNA
Source: RNAcentral
AACGAACGCUGGCGGCAUGCUUAACACAUGCAAGUCGAACGGACUUGUGGGGCUUGCUCCACAAGUUAGUGGCAGACGGGUGAGUAACGCGUGGGAAUGUACCUUUUGGUUCGGAAUAACUUCGGGAAACUGAAGCUAAUACCGGAUAAGCCCGUGAGGGGAAAGAUUUAUCGCCGAAAGAGCAGCCCGCGUUAGAUUAGGUAGUUGGUGGGGUAAAGGACCUACCAAGCCUACGAUCUAUAGCUGGUCUGAGAGGAUGAUCAGCCACACUGGGACUGAGACACGGCCCACGACUCCUACGGGAGGGCAGCAGUGGGGAAGUAUUGGUACAAUAGGGGGAAACCCGUACGAUCCAGCAAUGCCGCGUGUGUGAUGAAGG